This 539-nucleotide ribosomal RNA is filed under the name Dietzia kunjamensis. RNAcentral describes it as "bacterial SSU rRNA". It matches the Rfam family "Bacterial small subunit ribosomal RNA", at positions 26 to 579 of the family's 1533-position model. The record is from RNAcentral. Lineage: Bacteria; Bacillati; Actinomycetota; Actinomycetes; Mycobacteriales; Dietziaceae.
AGGACGAACGCUGCGGCGUGCUUAACACAUGCAAGUCGAACGGUAAGGCCCCUUCGGGGGUACACGAGUGGCGAACGGGUGAGUAACACGUGGGUAAUCUGCCCUGCACUUCGGGAUAAGCCUGGGAAACUGGGUCUAAUACCGGAUAUGAACUCCUGCCGCAUGGUGGGGGUUGGAAAGUUUUUCGGUGCAGGAUGAGCCCGCGGCCUAUCAGCUUGUUGGUGGGGUAAUGGCCUACCAAGGCGACGACGGGUAGCCGGCCUGAGAGGGUGAUCGGCCACACUGGGACUGAGACACGGCCCAGUACUCCUACGGGAGGCAGCAGUGGGGAAUAUUGCACAAUGGGCUGAAAGCACUGAUGCAGCGACGCCGCGUGGGGGAUGACGGUCUUCGGAUUGUAAACCCCUUUCAGUAGGGACGAAGCGCAAGUGACGGUACCUGCAGAAGAAGCACCGGCUAACUACGUGCCAGCAGCCGCGGUAAUACGUAGGGUGCGAGCGUUGUCCGGAAUUACUGGGCGUAAAGAGCUCGUAGGCGGU